AAACUAAGAUACGUACCCACUUUCGUAGGGCAUCAUGAUUGCACUUAGCACGUGCAACAAGCCGUUAAACCCCUAGGUUACCCUAGUGGACGAGUGUUGUCUCGUGAGGGUUUGCAGUAAUGUUACCCACAAACAUCAUGAAUGAUAUGACAUGACAUGAGAUCCUAAUAAAAAUGUGCAAUAAAUCCUAAGCCAAUACACAUGUAAUUAAUAUAUAUAUUUUCAAGCAUGGCAACUAUCA
This 241-nucleotide long non-coding RNA is filed under the name Phoenix dactylifera (date palm). Its description in RNAcentral is "long non-coding RNA (PDAC_LNC014446)". The record is from RNAcentral. Lineage: Eukaryota; Viridiplantae; Streptophyta; Magnoliopsida; Arecales; Arecaceae.